ACAAUGGCAGGUACAGAGGGGUGCUACCGGGUGACCGGAUGCCGAUCUCGAAAACCUGUCCCAGUUCGGACUGGAGUCUGCAACCCGACUCCACGAAGUUGGAUUCGCUAGUAAUCGCGCAUCAGCCAUGGCGCGGUGAAUACGUUCCCGGGCCUUGUACACACCGCCCGUCAAGCCAUGGGAGCCGGGGGCGCCUGAAGUCCGGGACCGCGAGGACCGGCCUAGGGCGAAACUGAUGACUGGGGCUAAGUCGUAACAAGGUAAC
This 265-nucleotide ribosomal RNA is filed under the name uncultured bacterium. RNAcentral describes it as "partial 16S ribosomal RNA". It matches the Rfam family "Bacterial small subunit ribosomal RNA", at positions 1227 to 1500 of the family's 1533-position model. The record is from RNAcentral.